RNAcentral lists this ribosomal RNA (1158 nucleotides) under Escherichia coli. Its description in RNAcentral is "partial 23S ribosomal RNA". It matches the Rfam family "Bacterial large subunit ribosomal RNA", at positions 1 to 1191 of the family's 2925-position model. The record is from RNAcentral. Lineage: Bacteria; Pseudomonadati; Pseudomonadota; Gammaproteobacteria; Enterobacterales; Enterobacteriaceae.
GGGUUGUGAGGUUAAGCGACUAAGCGUACACGGUGGAUGCCCUGGCAGUCAGAGGCGAUGAAGGACGUGCUAAUCUGCGAUAAGCGUCGGUAAGGUGAUAUGAACCGUUAUAACCGGCGAUUUCCGAAUGGGGAAACCCAGUGUGAUUCGUCACACUAUCAUUAACUGAAUCCAUAGGUUAAUGAGGCGAACCGGGGGAACUGAAACAUCUAAGUACCCCGAGGAAAAGAAAUCAACCGAGAUUCCCCCAGUAGCGGCGAGCGAACGGGGAGCAGCCCAGAGCCUGAAUCAGUGUGUGUGUUAGUGGAAGCGUCUGGAAAGGCGUGCGAUACAGGGUGACAGCCCCGUACACAAAAAUGCACAUGCUGUGAGCUCGAUGAGUAGGGCGGGACACGUGGUAUCCUGUCUGAAUAUGGGGGGACCAUCCUCCAAGGCUAAAUACUCCUGACUGACCGAUAGUGAACCAGUACCGUGAGGGAAAGGCGAAAAGAACCCCGGCGAGGGGAGUGAAAAAGAACCUGAAACCGUGUACGUACAAGCAGUGGGAGCACGCUUAGGCGUGUGACUGCGUACCUUUUGUAUAAUGGGUCAGCGACUUAUAUUCUGUAGCAAGGUUAACCGAAUAGGGGAGCCGAAGGGAAACCGAGUCUUAACUGGGCGUUAAGUUGCAGGGUAUAGACCCGAAACCCGGUGAUCUAGCCAUGGGCAGGUUGAAGGUUGGGUAACACUAACUGGAGGACCGAACCGACUAAUGUUGAAAAAUUAGCGGAUGACUUGUGGCUGGGGGUGAAAGGCCAAUCAAACCGGGAGAUAGCUGGUUCUCCCCGAAAGCUAUUUAGGUAGCGCCUCGUGAAUUCAUCUCCGGGGGUAGAGCACUGUUUCGGCAAGGGGGUCAUCCCGACUUACCAACCCGAUGCAAACUGCGAAUACCGGAGAAUGUUAUCACGGGAGACACACGGCGGGUGCUAACGUCCGUCGUGAAGAGGGAAACAACCCAGACCGCCAGCUAAGGUCCCAAAGUCAUGGUUAAGUGGGAAACGAUGUGGGAAGGCCCAGACAGCCAGGAUGUUGGCUUAGAAGCAGCCAUCAUUUAAAGAAAGCGUAAUAGCUCACUGGUCGAGUCGGCCUGCGCGGAAGAUGUAACGGGGCUAAACCAUG